Molecule: small nucleolar RNA, 104 nt
Organism: Macaca fascicularis (crab-eating macaque)
Lineage: Eukaryota; Metazoa; Chordata; Mammalia; Primates; Cercopithecidae
Source: Ensembl
AUCCUUUCAUAGUUUAUAAGAUUGAUGAUCAGGUCUUCAUGCUCAUGUGUGAAAUAUGCCUCCCUCAAACCACGUUAGGACUUUGGCAUAUUGCCCGUCUGAAA